GGGGUUUUCCGUAGGGUGACCUGCGAGAGGAUCAUUAAUGAAACUUCAAAGUCGGCUUUGUCAUCUGUGCUGGUGGAGACACAUGUGCACGUCGACAAAGUCGCAAACCCCACACACCUGUGCAUCUAUGACUCUGAGUACCGCUUUGCAUGGGCUGUCAAACGCCCUGGUACUCGAGUAACUUUCACACACUCUGAAUGUAAUGGAAUGUCUAUUGUACAAUGUACAACCAAAAACAACUUUCAACAACGGAUCUCUUGGCUCUCGCAUCGAUGAAGAACGCAGCGAAAUGCGAUAAGUAAUGUGAAUUGCAGAAUUCAGUGAAUCAUCGAAUCUUUGAACGCACCUUGCACCCUUUGGUAUUCCGAAGGGUACACCCGUUUGAGUGUCAUUGUAAUCUCACUACAACCGCUUUUUUGUGGUUGCAUGUGGACUUGGAUGUUGCCGUGUAACAAACGGCUCGUCUGAAAUGCCUGAGUGUACCCUGCUUUGCGGUGUAUUCGGUGUGAUAAAUCUUCACCGGAGUUGACCUUCAGGGUCGCGUCUGCUUGGCAUGGCUCUAUGCUUCCAACCGUCCUGACAAGACAAUCUUUGACAAUUUGACCUCAAAUCGGGUGGGACUACCCGCUGAACUUAAGCAUAU
RNAcentral lists this ribosomal RNA (643 nucleotides) under Sebacinales sp. PC38. Its description in RNAcentral is "eukaryotic LSU rRNA". The stretch from base 238 to 391 matches the Rfam family "5.8S ribosomal RNA". Lineage: Eukaryota; Fungi; Basidiomycota; Agaricomycetes; Sebacinales. The record is from RNAcentral.